This 309-nucleotide small nuclear RNA is filed under the name Cebus imitator (Panamanian white-faced capuchin). Its description in RNAcentral is "7SK RNA (ENSCCAG00000004008.1)". It matches the Rfam family "7SK RNA". Rfam says of the family: 7SK was discovered as an abundant small nuclear RNA in the mid-70s but a possible function has only recently been suggested. Two independent studies have found that 7SK RNA binds the CDK9/cyclin T complex (known as elongation factor P-TEFb). P-TEFb activates transcription by phosphorylating the C-terminal domain of RNA polymerase II. The record is from RNAcentral. Lineage: Eukaryota; Metazoa; Chordata; Mammalia; Primates; Cebidae.
GGAGGUGAGGACGAUCUGGCUGUGACAUCUGUCACCCCAUUGGUCACCAGGGUUGAUUUGGCUGAUCUGGUUAAGUGGUGUCCCCUUCCUCCCUCACCACUCCACGUGUGUCCCUCCUGAACUGCACGCUCAGUCCAAGAGGAUGACCAUUCCUGAUAGAGAAGGACUGGUCUUUGGUCAAAAGUAUGCUAGUAGCUGCACUCUCCUGCUAGAACCUCCAAACAGGCUCUCAAAAGCAGGAUAGGACUAUAGUGGAGUGGGCGUUUUCCUCUCCCCACAGACUCUGAACAUGCUAACACAAAACCUUCA